UACGGGGGGGGCAAGCGUUGUUCGGAAUUACUGGGCGGAAAGGGCUCGUAGGCGGCCAACUAAGUCAGACGUGAAAUCCCCAGGCUUAACCUGGGAACUGCGUCUGAUACUGGAUGGCUUGAAUUCGGGAGAGGGAUGCAGAAUUCCAGGUGUAGCGGUGAAAUGCGUAGAUAUCUGGAGGAACACCGGUGGCGAAGGCGGCUACCUGGCCCAACAUUGACGCUGAGACCCGAAAGCAUGGGGAUCAAACAGG
RNAcentral lists this ribosomal RNA (253 nucleotides) under uncultured bacterium. RNAcentral describes it as "partial 16S ribosomal RNA". It matches the Rfam family "Bacterial small subunit ribosomal RNA", at positions 524 to 776 of the family's 1533-position model. The record is from RNAcentral.